Long non-coding RNA from Ruditapes philippinarum (Manila clam), 443 nucleotides. RefSeq lists it as uncharacterized. The record is from RefSeq and is a predicted model, not a curated record. NCBI's taxonomy places the organism in Eukaryota, Metazoa, Mollusca, Bivalvia, Venerida, Veneridae. The transcript has 4 exons.
GUGUUGGCUGUUAUUCAACCAACAACAGGGCAGAACCCGCCAACCUGGAACACAGGAACAUCAUUCAAUAAGACGUCUUCAGAUUGUACAGAAAUCACCGACUUGUCUGCAACGUCACAGACUGGCGACACUGUUAUAUACUCUGUAGAGUCUCAAACCCCGAAUGCCGGAUUUACUACUGAUGUGAACUUUGCUUCUGAUCAAAUUCUUACGUGUGUGAAGGAUUCCGUAUCCCAAUCCUCGUAUGUUGUAGUGGUAAGAGCAAAAUAUCAAUCAGAUCCGGGACAAUCAGAUUUAACCAUAACUAUCACAUUCACAGAUCAAUCACCUGCGACAUGGAACACUGGCACCUCGCAUAAAUUAGAUAAAACGGACGCUAAUGCGUGUUACUCUGUCACAACUUUGUCAGCAACUUCGACAGAUGGUUCCACUGUAACGUACAG